UAUUGCUUUAUAUUGCAAGUGAAGGAACAAGAGCAUUGCCAUUAGGGUUCUUUUUUCUCUCUUUACAUUUCGUGAUGCCAUUGGUUCUUGGUCUUUCGCGAUGCAUAGGUUCUCUCGCUUCCUCAAGGAUUUCGAGGCGAAUUAUUCUUUAUUCUUCAUUCAUCACUCUAUCUUCCUUUCCCUUUUCUGUCUUGUUUUACUUUCACAAUUGUAACAGUUCGUAACUGUUUUGGAAACAAAAGAUGUUGGUGUGUUUUCAGAAGCAGAAUAAUGGUGGGAAAGAAGCUGCUGCUGUUGAUGGAUCCCCUUCGAUGCGUCGACGGUUAUAUUUUUACCUACAAGCCUCUCAUUUUUCGAAGAAUCCAAGUCUUAUCAUCAACGAGAAGGAGGAUGAAGUAUCAUGAAGAGGGUAUCUUUCUUUUGUUCUUUUUCUUUUCCUUGCACGUUAUAAUGGAUUUUCUUGAAAAAAAAAAAAACUUUUUCGCUACAUUAUUAGUUAGUUAAUGGCAAUGCCUCAAGAAUUAAGGAUUUCAAGGCGAAUUAUUCUUCAUUCAUCUCUCUAUAUUUCUCUCCCUUUUCUAUUUUGUUUCCUUUCACAAUUGUACAAGUUCAUAACUGUUUUGGAAAGAAAAAUGUUGGUGUGUUUUCAUAAGUAGAAUAGUGCUGUUGAUGAGUCCCCAUCGAUGCGUUGAUAGUUAUAUUUUUACCUACAAGCCUUCUCAUCUUUGAAGAAGGCAAGCCUUAUCAUCAACGAGAAGGAGGAUGAAGAGGGUGGAAGUGGAAUCUACUACUCUUGUGCCAUUAGGCAAACAACGCAAAAAGUAUUUUUGGUAUUAUUGAUUGCCAAAGGAUCUGUUUAUAUUUUUAAAAUGCUGUAGUUGCGAUGUGAAUUUACUGAUUUAUAAUUAGGGCUUUGCAAAAUGGAAAUAUUAUUGUGCAUCAUUUGUUGAACUUGUUUAUAUAUGUUGGGCUAACCACUGUUUUAAUCAUAUUUGGUAUAGCUUUAUCACUACUACUGCAACAUGUUACUUCUUGGCAUUUGUGUUUUAAGGUUGGUGAUCAAAGCACAGCUUUCAGCAAGUGUGAUUUCAGUCUUCGCUAAGAAUUAUGGGAUAUAUAUUGUUCUGGAUCUAGUAUUUGGAGCCUCAACAAUCUAACGAUCACCCAGUUUCCAAGUCCAAAUCAUCCUUAUAGCCCUCCAAUUGAGGAGCCGUCAACAGUCACGUGUUCGUCUCGGAAUUCUCUAUAAAACACACUCAACAAUUUGGUAAAGAAAUUCUGAUUUUGUGUCCAUUUCUUUCCUUUUCAGUUUCGUGAUUUGAAUUCUUGGUAUUGAGAGAUUUUGUAAUUUUGAUGGUUUAAGGGUACUCUAGUGGUGGAUAAGUAUAAGGGUUUGUCUAAUUAAUCUGCGGGUAAGGUAAGGAAACUCUAAACCCUUGCGGUUAUUCAAUUAUGUGAACCCUAGUUAAUUUGGUGAAUUUCAUGAAAAUAGAUUGAAUUGUGUUGAAUUCGGUGUUGAAUUGGCAAAUUAGAGCUUGUUGGAAUUGAUUUGGAGUCUUGGAAGCUUGAUGUUAGGUGCUUUGACAUUGGGGAGGAAUCGACCAUGGUAUGGUUUCGGUUUCUCGUAGUUAAUAUAUAAUGUUGCGUGAAAACUUAGGUUAGAUUACCAUAGAAUAAGCUUGAAUGUGUUGAGUUGUUGAACUUGAUGGAUUAUAUGUACCUAUGAGUGUGAUGAGUUGUGUGGGUGAAGUGUAUAUAUAAAGUUGAUGCAUGAUAU
This is a non-coding RNA of Arachis ipaensis, 1777 nucleotides long. NCBI's taxonomy places the organism in Eukaryota, Viridiplantae, Streptophyta, Magnoliopsida, Fabales, Fabaceae. The record is from RefSeq and is a predicted model, not a curated record.